AAACAAUGUGUUUGAAACUGCAACAAGCAGACCAAAUAAACUUGCUAAAACAAAAGCAUCUUGAUAAACUAUUACAAACCAAAAACUUGUAGUUGCAUAAAACAAGAUGGGAAAAUCCCUUUUGGAUGGCGUCGUUGUAAUAUCGAACCAAUCAACAUAAAACAACUACAAAGAAUGAAAAAAUCGACACAACAAAGUCUGUACCCAGUUCAUUAGCCAUGACUGUCAAUUAAAGCUGCAUUCCCAAACCAGGUCUGUACCCACUUCAUUACCCAAUACAAUGAUAACAUCUGUAUAAAAAUUUAGAACGUAUUAAUAAUUAUAUUGAACAAUGUUCAUAAAUUAAUGAAUUUGAUAAAGCAAAUGUAACACUACAUAAUUAUACCUAAAUGAACAACCUAGUUCAUUUUUUUGCUGGUUCGGAUGAUGAGCAACUGACAGUUUCUGAAAAAUAAAAAAGCAAAAUUUAAUGAACCAAAGAAAAAGAAAAGUCAUAUUUGGUGAAAUUUUGAACAUAUAAACAAUUAUAUUGAAUAGAGUUCAUAAUUUAUUGAACAAUAUUAAUAAUUUAAUGAACAAUAUUAAUAAUUUACUGAAUCUAAUGAAAAUAAUUGAAAUUGAAAUAAAGAAAAAUGCAUAGCCACAAAAAAAUUACCCUCAGAGAAAUUGGGCUGAGAAGACACUGCUCUCCAUGUUUGCCUGACAUUUUUUUUGCUUUUUGCGAUCAUUCACAUUUCCCCUUGCAUUUCUAGCAUCCAUAUUCAAUUCACAGCUAAAACCAUGCCAAAACUUGGGUUUCUGUCACAUAUUCUCUCAAAUUAAACUAUAACUCAAAUGGAGAAAACUUACAAAUAUUAAGAUAAUACAAGUAAUGUAAAUAAUAUGCCGCGAUUUCCAAACCUGGAAGUCCAGCAAGGGCUUCGAUUUUGCAUAAGUGUUUGUAGUUUCACGAAUUAGAAAGUUCAAUCUGCGAUAGCAUAUGAAAAUAAAAAUAUGUGUGAUCGUAAUAUAUAGGCACCAAUCCUUUGAUGGAGGAGGCAACCAUUCCUCUUCUUCUUCUUCCUUAUCAUCACAUUCUAUCACAUUCACAUCUUUCGAAUUAACAAUUCAAAAAUGCAAAAAAAUCUAUCAAUUGAUAAAAGAAAAAAGAAAAAAAUUACAAUCUUUCAUCAAGAAGAGAAACACUUACUGCAGGACCCGAGAAACCCAAAAACCAGCGUUUCAUCCAGGUCAUCUGCCAAUUCCCAAAAGUAAAGACACAAAAAAAUCCGAACCCAUAAAUUC
RNAcentral lists this long non-coding RNA (1284 nucleotides) under Salvia miltiorrhiza (redroot sage). Its description in RNAcentral is "long non-coding RNA (SMIL_LNC006124)". Lineage: Eukaryota; Viridiplantae; Streptophyta; Magnoliopsida; Lamiales; Lamiaceae. The record is from RNAcentral.